AACAUCGCGCACCUGCGGGAACCUGCGGAAGGAUCAUUACAGAGUUGCAAAACUCCCUAAACCAUUGUGAACCUACCUUCUACCGUUGCUUCGGCGGGCGGGCCUAGCGCCCCCCCGGCCCCCCGCGGGCGCCCGCCGGAGGAUAACCAAACUCUUGACAUCAGUGGCCUCUCUGAGUAUUCUUUACUGAAUAAGUCAAAACUUUCAGCAAUGGAUCU
Molecule: unclassified non-coding RNA, 218 nt
Filed under: soil metagenome
Description: partial contains 5.8S ribosomal RNA, internal transcribed spacer 2, and large subunit ribosomal RNA
Source: RNAcentral